CGGAACGUGCCCAGUUGUGGGGGAUAACUACUCGAAAGAGUAGCUAAUACCGCAUGAGAACUGAGGUUGAAAGCAGGGGAUCGUAAGACCUUGCGCAACUGGAGCGGCCGAUGGCAGAUUAGGUAGUUGGUGGGAUAAAAGCUUACCAAGCCGACGAUCUGUAGCUGGUCUGAGAGGACGACCAGCCACACUGGGACUGAGACACGGCCCAGACUCCUACGGGAGGCAGCAGUGGGGAAUUUUGGACAAUGGGCGAAAGCCUGAUCCAGCAAUGCCGCGUGCAGGAUGAAGGCCUUCGGGUUGUAAACUGCUUUUGUACGGAACGAAAAGCUUCGGGUUAAUACCCUGGAGUCAUGACGGUACCGUAAGAAUAAGCACCGGCUAACUACGUGCCAGCAGCCGCGGUAAUACGUAGGGUGCAAGCGUUAAUCGGAAUUACUGGGCGUAAAGCGUGCGCAGGCGGUCUUGUAAGACAGAGGUGAAAUCCCCGGGCUCAACCUGGGAACUGCCUUUGUGACUGCAAGGCUGGAGUGCGGCAGAGGGGGAUGGAAUUCCGCGU
RNAcentral lists this ribosomal RNA (559 nucleotides) under uncultured bacterium. Its description in RNAcentral is "bacterial SSU rRNA". It matches the Rfam family "Bacterial small subunit ribosomal RNA", at positions 119 to 674 of the family's 1533-position model. The record is from RNAcentral.